AAAGAAAUGUCUGGUGUGGAUGGUUGGCGUUGAAAAAGAAGAGGUGAGGGAGUUUUAGAGCCAAUUCCAAGCAGGGAAGUGAAUAUUGGGAAAGUGGCUAUGGCUGCUUUCUUUCUCAGGCAAUGGUGGAAGAAUUAAUAAGGAAUGCUUGGAAGCCCAGGUUGAUGAUGUCCUGCAUCGAUCUUUAACCACCCGAGAAGAUUUACUUGCUUCCAGUUCACAUUUUAGUCGUUACCGAUGACGCUUGAUGCUGAUUCGAUCGUGUUUUACUCACUUUGCUGUGAUAUUGUUGUGUGCUACGGAGAAAAGAAAACCGAGCUGAAGUGGAAGAUAUAGCUUACAACCUGGCAAAUUUCAACGGCACAAGUCACCUCAUUUCUUCCCUGCUAACAUUGCCAUGAAAGAUUCUGCAGGUGGAAUACCGAACUUUGCCCCGUGGAUGACACAGUCGGCGAGAUGCAGGUAUCGGGGACUCGCAAGAGGUAGGAAUCUGAUCCGAUGGGAAUUCUUUUGGAAUGUAAAAUUAUUCGAUCCAUCCCCAAGAGGACCCACAAGAAUGUGAACUGGAAAUUAUACUUGCAAAUUCCUAAAAGAACAAAGCAAACAUGGGAGGGAGGGGGAUGGUUGGAAGUUGAGGGGUGUGAAGGCUGAGAGCAAUAAUGGAGUUAGUUCAGUAGCCGGAAAAGAAACGGUUUGGGUGAGCUCACAUGCUUUGAUCGAGGAUUGUUUCUGUGACCUUAAUUUGCCCGAGCUGUUAUUGUUCGGUUUUGGUCUACUCGAAAAGAUUAUUGGGUGUUUCGAAAGCACGAGAGAAUUGACGAUCAUACGCGAGAAUUCAACAUAUAUGAUGGGCUUAUAAUUAAA
Non-coding RNA from Punica granatum (pomegranate), 864 nucleotides. Lineage: Eukaryota; Viridiplantae; Streptophyta; Magnoliopsida; Myrtales; Lythraceae. The record is from RefSeq and is a predicted model, not a curated record.